GCUCUCCUUCAUCUGCAAACUCCACAUAAUCUUCUUUUACCUCUUCCAAAAUAGUCUCAUCUUCACUUUCAAUUUCUUCUUGUAACUCCCGAAUGAACAUCACCCUCUUGUUUGGACAUUCAGAGGCUAUAUGACCGUAACCAAGACACUUGAAACACUUGAUAUCUCGACUUCAUCUGGGAGGUUGUGAAUUCCCCACCUCUUUUUCUUUGGCUGCAUCUAUGACUUGCUUGCUAGAAUCACCUUUUUCUACUUGUUUUGG
This 262-nucleotide long non-coding RNA is filed under the name Elaeis guineensis (African oil palm). RNAcentral's name for it is "long non-coding RNA (EGUI_LNC079383)". The record is from RNAcentral. Lineage: Eukaryota; Viridiplantae; Streptophyta; Magnoliopsida; Arecales; Arecaceae.